GUGUUURGUUUUGAGGGAGCCAAACCUGCGCAAGCAGGCAGGUGAACUCAAAGGGGCUUUGGAUGUGCGAAAGCAGAUCGAGAGCCGGAAUGUACCUUGGAAACUGGAUAACGACUCCUAUGAAGAAGUCAAACCGACACGAACACAGUGGGUAACUGUGAGCAUGCGGAAUUUGAGACGCGAGGAAUGCGAGGAGCCGAACGCGUGAGGAAACGAGCGUACUGUAGGGUACGUGAGUGACGAGCGCGCGAAGGCGACGAAGCAGUCCGAAGCGGAUCGAAGGACGCAAACAGGUGAAGGUAGGAAGGGCGCACGGAGGAUGCCUAGGCGCCAGGAGCCGACGAAGGACGGGGCGAAC
RNAcentral lists this unclassified non-coding RNA (358 nucleotides) under Paenalicyclobacillus cycloheptanicus. Its description in RNAcentral is "Alicyclobacillus cycloheptanicus partial contains 16S-23S ribosomal RNA intergenic spacer, and 23S ribosomal RNA". Lineage: Bacteria; Bacillati; Bacillota; Bacilli; Caryophanales; Alicyclobacillaceae. The record is from RNAcentral.